UGGGGAAUUUUGGACAAUGGGCGAAAGCCUGAUCCAGCAAUGCCGCGUGUGUGAAGAAGGCCUUCGGGUUGUAAAGCACUUUUGUCCGGAAAGAAAUCCUUGGCUCUAAUACAGUCGGGGGAUGACGGUACCGGAAGAAUAAGCACCGGCUAACUACGUGCCAGCAGCCGCGGUAAUACGUAGGGUGCAAGCGUUAAUCGGAAUUACUGGGCGUAAAGCGUGCGCAGGCGGUUUGCUAAGACCGAUGUGAAAUCCCCGGGCUCAACCUGGGAACUGCAUUGGUGACUGGCAGGCUAGAGUAUGGCAGAGGGGGGUAGAAUUCCACGUGUAGCAGUGAAAUGCGUAGAGAUGUGGAGGAAUACCGAUGGCGAAGGCAGCCCCCUGGGCCAAUACUGACGCUCAUGCACGAAAGCGUGGGGAGCAAACAGGAUUAGAUACCCUGGUAGUCCACGCCCUAAACGAUGUCAACUAGUUGUUGGGGAUUCAUUUCCUUAGUAACGUAGCUAACGCGUGAAGUUGACCGCCUGGGGAGUACGGUCGCAAGAUUAAAACUCAAGGAAUUGACGGGGUCAUAGCUG
This 578-nucleotide ribosomal RNA is filed under the name uncultured bacterium. RNAcentral's name for it is "partial 16S ribosomal RNA". It matches the Rfam family "Bacterial small subunit ribosomal RNA", at positions 355 to 932 of the family's 1533-position model. The record is from RNAcentral.